This 491-nucleotide ribosomal RNA is filed under the name uncultured bacterium. RNAcentral describes it as "bacterial SSU rRNA". It matches the Rfam family "Bacterial small subunit ribosomal RNA", at positions 32 to 530 of the family's 1533-position model. The record is from RNAcentral.
AAUCAACGCUGGCGGCGUGCCUCAGACAUGCAAGUCGAACGAUUAAAGCUCUCUUCGGAGAGUGUAUAGAGUGGCGCACGGGUGAGUAACACGUAAGUAAUCUACCCUCGAGUGGGGAAUAACAACCGGAAACGGUUGCUAAUACCGCAUAAUGCAGCGGCACCGCAAGGUGACAGUUGUUAAAGAUUUAUCGCUUGAGGAGGAGCUUGCGGCAGAUUAGCUAGUUGGUAGGGUAACGGCUUACCAAGGCUACGAUCUGUAACCGGUCUAAGAGGACGGUCGGUCACACUGACACUGAAUAACGGGUCAGACUCCUACGGGAGGCAGCAGUCGGGAAUUUUGGGCAAUGGGCGAAAGCCUGACCCAGCAACGCCGCGUGAAGGAUGAAGUAUUUCGGUAUGUAAACUUCGAAAGAAUAGGAAGAAUUAAUGACGGUACUAUUUAUAAGGUCCGGCUAACUACGUGCCAGCAGCCGCGGUAAAGUCACGUCG